GGCAAAUUCAUUUCCCCUCUCUCCUCAUUAUCCUUCUUCUCCAGAAUAGAAGAUUCUUGCCAUCUGCUCUCUUUUCCUCUAUGCUCCUUCUCACGAUUCCGGUCAGCUAGGGUUUUCUCCGCAGCAACUGAUGGUGGAUUUCUCUCUGCCGAUCUAGGGUUUAACUCUAAAUCCCCACCUAAAGCAACUUAGCCAAAAGAUACCACUUUUCUCCUAACGUUACCUCUGUAUCCAUAUGACUGGUCCGGCCAGCUGCUGAUCGUUUCUUGGACAGAACCAACAUAAUUUGAGAGAGAGAGAGAGAGAGAGAGUUGACACAGAGAGCAGAGUGUCGGGUGCAUCAGGUUGGAGAGACUGUGAAUGUGGAUUACUUUUCGGUUGAUGGGGUUUCGGAUCAUGAAUUGCAUCUUGAUGAGGUUGUGAAACAAAGGGAGGAGCUUCAGCAUUUGGAGGUUAAUUUGAAGGCUAGAUUGAUUGCUAGAUCAGAAGUGACUGGGAUUCAUGAACGGUUUGAUUCGCAGAUUAAAGAGCAUAUUACUUCAAAUGUUAAACUUCAGGAACAACUGCAUGAAAGGGAAAAGACUAUAAUGGACUUGCAAAGAACUUUGGAUGAUAAGGAUAAAGAGCUUCAUGCAAUUAGACUGGACCAUGAAGUGGCAUGGGCUAAAGAGGACCUCAUACGUGAGCAACAAAAAAAAAGGAACUGGCAACUUUUCGGAGAGAACGUGAUAAUCCUGAAGCUGAAAGGGCUCAACAUAUUAAAAAAAUCCAUGAAUUACAAGAACAUGUUCAAGAAAAGGAGAGGUAGCUCACGAAAUUGCAGGAACAGGUACCCUUUCAGCUAUUCUUUUGUAAUAUAAACCAAUACCAUCAUGAUUUCAAAGCUUUUUAAUCUUUAUUCUAAUUGCCACAAUAUCAUUGACUUGUGUUAUAUGUUAUAUCAAACUGAGCACAUCAAGUCAAAGCAUUUAUGAUGAUCUAUAAAGCUGGCUUUUAAAAGGCGCUACUGGCAUGCGCCUCAGGCACAAGGCUGGUCACUUCUGAAUUGAAAAGGCCUAAUGUGUACACACGGCACACUAAAGGCGAGGCAGGCGCACAGAAAAGCGGCUUGAAGCGCACUCGGCUCCGGAGUCUACUGGUGUUGAACAUGUUGGAAGCAGUAUGUUUGAUCAUGUGCCUAAAGCUGGUGGAGUUUAUAUGACAGUUAGUCUUACACUUGAGGUUCUUCUCAAUUGCAUUUGAAAAGUAUUUAUAACACAGUUCAUACUUUAUUUAUGAAGCUUUGAUAUAAAUAUUAUUAUAAAAUUAUUUAGAGCUCAAGUUAGGUGACAUGGAAUUUUCGAUAUCUUUUGAUAGUACCACUUGAAUGAAUUGGUGGAGGUAAAUAAUAGGUAAUUUUUUAGCUUUUUUUUAUGCUAAUGAAGUUUUAUUUUGAUAUAGAGUUUUCGAUAUCUUUUGAUAGUACCACUUAAACGACGAGAACCAUGAAAAUAAAAUAGUAUCAAUUACAAUGAAUAUUUGCUUUUUAAACCCAUCAUUUCAAGUAAUGUCGUUUUUUAAACGAAACAUGGUGUAAUGAGAAGGGUGAUAUAAAACGUGAAAUAUGUUAUCAGGUGGCGUUUUGUUUGUCUAUUAGGGAUGAGCAUGAGUAUUUGUAGUUUUCAUAUCAACAGGUUUUGGUAUUAAUGGCCGGGUUACUUUACUUUUUUACAAGAGGCUCGGUUAAUUCCGUUGACCAUCGGUUAACUGUCGGCUUUGAACAUAGGUGGAUUCAAUGAUCAACAACUGCUUUUGGCUUCACCUUUGUGUAGGGUGUUUUUAAAUUAUAUCUCUAACAUAUGCAAUUCUAAGAUAUUCCUUUUAGAAGUUGACAUUGUAUUAUUUGUGAAAUAAUGUCAUAUUAUAACCUCAUUAUCUCUGUUCUAAACUUCUACUAAUUGAUGUUCUUUAUUUUAAUAGUUUAUUACCUGAUCAUAAGUUGAGGACACUUUUUCAGCAACCUCUGAAUCACCUUCGAGAUUUAAAGGAAUUCAAUUCACUUCUAUCAUCUGGCAAUGGGAGGAAUGACUAAAACAGAGGUACAUCAAAUUGUGUUACAAUUCCAUAGACUAAGUUACAUUUGUAGAUGCUUCUCACAACUAUAGUCACUAAGUCAAAUGUGACUAAAAUAUGAGAUUUUAUUGUAUAUAACUACCAAGCCAAAUAUGAUUAACACUUUUGGAGGCUUUCCAUUCGUUUGACUCAUUUCUUAUUUAUUUAUUUUUUUUACCCUUCUCACCAAUUAGUAAUUUAAGAUAACUGGGUCGACCCAUUUUAUGUUAUGUUAUUUGUUAAGCCAGUUAGUUCUAAGGUUCGGGGUAUCUAUGUUGGUUUUACAAUUAUUAGUAAAUCCAAUUGCUUCCUUCCCUUGGGGGUAGUAUUUUUCAUUAUGAUAGGGGGCAAAUAGCUUUUUUUUCAAAUAAUAAAUAACGACUAUUUGCAAAAGUGACGUGUUUUUAACAGGUAGAUAGAUGUUUCCUCUACCUACGUUAGUUGAUUUUAGUUUAUAUUGAUAGUUGAGACUUGAUUAAUAUAUUAUUUAUCUUGACUAUUUUUUUCACUUGAAACACUUCAUUUAUAAGGUUGCUUGUGUUGUGUCUGCAUAAACUGUUGUCUCAAUACAUGGUGUCAAAUUCCAAGAGAUUCUUCGAGUCAAUGAGGUGGUUUAGUGAACACAUUCAUCUCUAUUUCAAAAUUAUAUUUUGAUCCACUAUUGAUGCGUAACAAGGUUUAGGUUGGAUACAUUGCAAGCUUUUAAGGAAGGGAGUUAUGCUACCAAGAGCUGUCAGCUUGUGUGCAAAUAGGUCUAUCGACAACUGUUUUUAACAGUAUUUGUUUUUUUAUAUAAGUUGGGGGUGUUAAAAUAUGUUAAUAAUCGUAACACGAGAACCAAUUGUGAGUAUAGUAGCAUUUGUAUCUAUGUAUAAUUUAUUAAGUCGAUAAAUUUAUAAGAAGUAUUUCCUGUA
Molecule: long non-coding RNA, 3005 nt
Organism: Helianthus annuus (common sunflower)
Lineage: Eukaryota; Viridiplantae; Streptophyta; Magnoliopsida; Asterales; Asteraceae
Exons: 8
Source: RefSeq, a predicted model, not a curated record